Molecule: small RNA, 165 nt
Filed under: Microcystis aeruginosa
Lineage: Bacteria; Bacillati; Cyanobacteriota; Cyanophyceae; Chroococcales; Microcystaceae
Description: c-di-AMP sequence
Rfam family: c-di-AMP riboswitch aptamer (ydaO/yuaA leader) (bases 35-165)
About the family: This family represents a conserved RNA structure found upstream of the ydaO and yuaA genes in Bacillus subtilis and related genes in other bacteria. The ydaO/yuaA element is thought to act as a genetic "off" switch for the ydaO and yuaA genes in its native state.
Source: RNAcentral
AGAGUAAGUCAGCCUAAUCCAAGUUUCUAUGCUAGAUAUUAGCUAGACAAAUUCGGAGCGGAGGAACCACAUUUGGGGGCGUAUUUCUAGAUUUUGUAGCCUAGAAAAGGAUAUCUCUCUAUCCUAGCCCGUCAGCUAACUUCGUCGGCGUGGGGGGAAGACUGA